AAGGUAACUGAGUUAGCGAACUUGGUUUUAAAUACAAGUUAGUAUGUGAAGCGAAAUAAAUGACAAGUUUUAAAAGUUUGAGGGGUUAAAAGGAAAAUGUGUUAAAUAAAACACUUUACAAAAAAAAGUCAGUAUCUUGGGGGGGGGGUUCUAUGCGUGCGAUCGAGAACAGGGCCAAGAGAAGAGCCAAAAACCCUAACAACCAAAAAUCAUCAAAUUGAUAAGGAGAUCAAGGGAAAAAUCGAAUGCAUGGGUCUGGAUACUCUUUAAUCUAAGUGUAUUGAUCAUAAGGAACGUGUCAAGGAGAGCUCAAGCAUAAGAGGAUAACGGGUCAAGAUAAGGCAAGGUGACAAAUACACUUAUUGGAGUACUCAAGGUUAUGAAUGUCGGACUUUCAAAGUGUUGAUAUAAUAAUGAAACGGUUGAAUCUUGAAAGGAUAAUCGGAUUGAAGUAACUUAUGCGGUUAGAAUAUGCGGUGGACGUUUUAGUUUAUACAACAUUUUAUGUUUGGUCGUCAUCAUCUACCAACGGGUAAAUCCUCAAUUCAGGCGACUUGGAGAAUCGGAGCGAGCGCGUGUUCAUGUUAUGUCGUACCAAACGCUUCCGCUAGUUUGUCCAAAUGUUUUUGGUCCAAAAUUUGUUGUAAUGGUUUUUAGUAGUAUUUUGUUGAACGACUCGUAGAAUUGUAUCUAGUUUGAUUAUGAUUAAAACAGGGGUAUGUCCGUUUUACGGACGGGUCAUGCCCAAAUUUUGUUAAAAAUUAAUGCAUAUGUUAUUGAUACCAUCGUUUUAAACUGCGAAAA
Long non-coding RNA from Helianthus annuus (common sunflower), 804 nucleotides. RefSeq lists it as uncharacterized. The record is from RefSeq and is a predicted model, not a curated record. The transcript is spliced from 4 exons. Lineage: Eukaryota; Viridiplantae; Streptophyta; Magnoliopsida; Asterales; Asteraceae.